GAACAAAGCACUUUCGACUGUUCAUGGGAUACUCCAGAGGAGCAAUGUUGGCUCCAUGCUGUAAAUACCCAUCUCUUCAAUGAGGAGGCUUUUGAUUAGAAAGCCUGGGAGGGCCUACAAUCAGGACCCAAGGCAAAAUGGGAAGCUGGCUUGGAGGAUCAUCCAUUCAGGCCCUGGAAGGCACUCUAUUUACGUAAAGACUCUGUCAGUUGCCACAGUGGCUUCACUAAUUGUCUGCAGCACCCAAUGAAGAGAAUAGUUCUGGAACAAGAAUGCCUUAGGCCUUCCUUCUAUUCUAUAAAACAAAGCUUCACUGUGUCCAUCACUUCUGCUUUUCCACAAACAUGGAAGCACCAGGACUGCCAGGACUUGUCUGUUUCAUGCUCUGUAUCCAGAUCUUACUGCGUCUCAGCUCUGCUACAGAAAUACAUCGGUGUUUUGACUGUAGGAAAGGCAAAGCUGUUCCAGAGGACCAGGAGCUGGCUGCAUCCACUGCAAGGCCAAGUCUUACCCUGCUGAAGAGAAAAGUGUCUGACAGCUUGUUCAUUAAAAGUACACAGUUUCCAAGACAAAAC
RNAcentral lists this long non-coding RNA (575 nucleotides) under Equus asinus (donkey). Its description in RNAcentral is "lncRNA (ENSEASG00005037095.1)". The record is from RNAcentral. Lineage: Eukaryota; Metazoa; Chordata; Mammalia; Perissodactyla; Equidae.